This 602-nucleotide long non-coding RNA is filed under the name Dasypus novemcinctus (nine-banded armadillo). RNAcentral's name for it is "lncRNA (ENSDNOG00000051103.1)". Lineage: Eukaryota; Metazoa; Chordata; Mammalia; Cingulata; Dasypodidae. The record is from RNAcentral.
UGGACGAGUCUUAGUUUUCCCGCAUUGCUUCUGGGCCACCGUUAGAGGGCGAAGCGGAGGCUUGGCGGGCUGGGAUAUAAAUUUCGUCCUGGUCGACUUCGGUUUUACCUGCUUUGUGUAUUUGUAGGUCUGAGUGUGGUUUCUUCUAAAUGAAGCACUUGCCAAUAGGUUCUGAAAGGAAAAAUUAGCAAAGAAAUAAUUAACACAAAGUUCAGGAUCUAGCUGCUGCCUCGGUGGCGAGUGAGAAGUGUGACUGGGAUCGCACAAGUCCAGGGAGCGCCGUUUACAUUAUAUUCUCCUUAAUUUGUGGAGCCAUUCCAGGCUCCAGAGAGGAGAGUUAUGGAAUUUGGAGGACUUCUAAAUCCAAAGUGUGGUCUUACCUCUGAUUUUACAUGUGGAAUUUGAGGGCCCUGUACAAUUUUAUAAUGGUGUGGCCUGCUAUUCCAUUUAUGGCAACAGUUCACACUGAUAUUUAAUGUAAGUCAUAACCUAAAAAGCAAACAAAGAAUACAAAACAAUAAAACCUUGCUGGAAUUUUAUUGAAAUUGCUUUGAAUUUAUAGCUUAAUUUGGGAAGAAUUUCCCGUUUACCAGUCCAUGAAC